This 882-nucleotide ribosomal RNA is filed under the name uncultured bacterium. RNAcentral's name for it is "bacterial SSU rRNA". It matches the Rfam family "Bacterial small subunit ribosomal RNA", at positions 39 to 916 of the family's 1533-position model. The record is from RNAcentral.
GCGGCAGGCCUAACACAUGCAAGUCGAGCGGUAGAGAGAAGCUUGCUUCUCUUGAGAGCGGCGGACGGGUGAGUAAUGCCUAGGAAUCUGCCUGGUAGUGGGGGAUAACGUUCGGAAACGGACGCUAAUACCGCAUACGUCCUACGGGAGAAAGCAGGGGACCUUCGGGCCUUGCGCUAUCAGAUGAGCCUAGGUCGGAUUAGCUAGUUGGUGGGGUAAUGGCUCACCAAGGCGACGAUCCGUAACUGGUCUGAGAGGAUGAUCAGUCACACUGGAACUGAGACACGGUCCAGACUCCUACGGGAGGCAGCAGUGGGGAAUAUUGGACAAUGGGCGAAAGCCUGAUCCAGCCAUGCCGCGUGUGUGAAGAAGGUCUUCGGAUUGUAAAGCACUUUAAGUUGGGAGGAAGGGCAGUAAAUUAAUACUUUGCUGUUUUGACGUUACCGACAGAAUAAGCACCGGCUAACUCUGUGCCAGCAGCCGCGGUAAUACAGAGGGUGCAAGCGUUAAUCGGAAUUACUGGGCGUAAAGCGCGCGUAGGUGGUUCGUUAAGUUGGAUGUGAAAUCCCCGGGCUCAACCUGGGAACUGCAUUCAAAACUGACGAGCUAGAGUAUGGUAGAGGGUGGUGGAAUUUCCUGUGUAGCGGUGAAAUGCGUAGAUAUAGGAAGGAACACCGGUGGCGAAGGCGACCACCUGGACUGAUACUGACACUGGGGUGCGAAAGCGUGGGGAGCAAACAGGAUUAGAUACCCUGGUAGUCCACGCCGUAAACGAUGUCAACUAGCCGUUGGGAGCCUUGAGCUCUUAGUGGCUCAGCUAACGCAUUAAGUUGACCGCCUGGGGAGUACGGCCGCAAGGUUAAAACUCAAAUGAAUUGACGG